GCGCCUGUGGUGAAAUGGUAUCACAUCAGUUUCCCAUACUGGUUUUGAGAGUUCGAUUCUCUCCAGGCGCACCA
This 74-nucleotide transfer RNA is filed under the name Verrucomicrobiota bacterium. RNAcentral describes it as "Verrucomicrobia bacterium tRNA-Gly". It matches the Rfam family "tRNA". From Rfam's summary of the family: Transfer RNA (tRNA) molecules are approximately 80 nucleotides in length. Their secondary structure includes four short double-helical elements and three loops (D, anti-codon, and T loops). Lineage: Bacteria; Pseudomonadati; Verrucomicrobiota. The record is from RNAcentral.